Molecule: non-coding RNA, 473 nt
Organism: Paramuricea clavata
Lineage: Eukaryota; Metazoa; Cnidaria; Anthozoa; Malacalcyonacea; Plexauridae
Source: the annotation of a GenBank genome assembly
GCGGUUGGAGACCUGGACCGAGCUUCACAUAAACACCAAAACGCGGGAAUAUUUAGCGGGAAAGAAGGAAGCUUGAUUGCUGAAGUUGAACAAAGUUUCUGACUUUUUGAACUACUAGAUUUGACUUUCCAUCAUCGGAAUGGCUGCUGUAGAAGACGAACAACCUUCUUCAUCAACUUCUACGUUUAGGUGUGUGAAUUUAAUGGUCUUUAUUUCGAACAAGGGUCAAUCGAUUUUGAACAAGCUUAAUUUGAACAAGGGUCAACUCGGAAGUCUACAAAUUUGUACUUGACAGUACAAAUUUGUAGACUUUUUCACGACAUUUUAAAAUACUACAACUAACUUUUGUGCUACGAAUUCUUUGGUUUAGUAAAGAUGAAGUGAACAAACUGAUGAGUCAAGGCAAACGACAUUUUGUGUGCAAUGAAAUUGUUGAAGCAGUGAAAUCCUUUGAAGUUGCAUGCCUCAUGUUG